UUACCACGGUGUGGUUCAUGACUGGGGUGAAGUCGUAACAAGGUAGCCCUAGGGGAACCUGGGGCUGGAUCACCUCCUUAAACGA
Molecule: ribosomal RNA, 85 nt
Filed under: Neptunomonas marina
Lineage: Bacteria; Pseudomonadati; Pseudomonadota; Gammaproteobacteria; Oceanospirillales; Oceanospirillaceae
Description: Neptunomonas sp. HPM-16 partial 16S ribosomal RNA
Rfam family: Bacterial small subunit ribosomal RNA
Source: RNAcentral